UUGAUCCUGGCUCAGAAUCAACGCUGGCGGCGUGCCUAACACAUGCAAGUCGAACGCGAAAGUCCCGCAAGGGAUGAGUAGAGUGGCGAACGGGUGAGUUACACGUGGGUGACCUGCCCUCGAGUGGGGGAUAACGUCCCGAAAGGGACUCUAAUACCGCAUGAGAUCCUGCCUUUGAAGAGGUGGAGAUUAAAGCUGGUGAUCGUAAGACCUGGCGCUUGAGGAGGGGCCCGCGCCCGAUUAGCUAGUUGGUGGGGUAACGGCCUACCAAGGCGACGAUCGGUAGCCGGCCUGAGAGGUCGGACGGCCACACUGGGACUGAGACACGGCCCAGACUCCUACGGGAGGCUGCAGUGGGGAAUUGUUCGCAAUGGGCGCAAGCCUGACGACGCAACGCCGUGUGGAGGAUGAAGAUUUUCGGAUCGUAAACUCCUUUCGAUCGGGACGAAUCGUUCGCGACCUAAUACGUCGCGGAACUGACGGUACCGAGAGAAGAAGCUCCGGCUAACUCCGUGCCAGCAGCCGCGGUAAU
Molecule: ribosomal RNA, 532 nt
Filed under: uncultured Acidobacteriota bacterium
Lineage: Bacteria; Pseudomonadati; Acidobacteriota
Description: bacterial SSU rRNA
Rfam family: Bacterial small subunit ribosomal RNA
Source: RNAcentral